CUGGGUUUGACAUGUUGGGGACAGCCGCAGAGAUGCGGUUUCCUUAUGGUCCCAUCACAGGUGGUGCAUGGCUGUCGUCAGCUCGUGUCGUGAGAUGUUGGGUUAAGUCCCGCAACGAGCGCAACCCUUGUCCUAUGUUGCCAGCGCGUAAUGGCGGGGACUCGUGGGAGACUGCCGGCGACAAGUCGGAGGAAGGUGGGGACGACGUCAAGUCAUCAUGCCCCUUAUGCCCAGGGCUGCAAAUAUGCUACAAUGGCCGGUACAAAGGGCUGCGAAACCGUGAGGUCAAGCGAAUCCCAUAAAGCCGGUCUCAGUUCGGAUUGGAGUCUGCAACUCGACUCCAUGAAGCCGGAGUCGCUAGUAAUCCCGGAUCAGCAACGCCGGGGUGAAUA
Molecule: ribosomal RNA, 392 nt
Filed under: uncultured bacterium
Lineage: Bacteria
Description: bacterial SSU rRNA
Rfam family: Bacterial small subunit ribosomal RNA
Source: RNAcentral